This 400-nucleotide ribosomal RNA is filed under the name uncultured Rhizophydiales. RNAcentral describes it as "partial small subunit ribosomal RNA". It matches the Rfam family "Eukaryotic small subunit ribosomal RNA", at positions 30 to 432 of the family's 1831-position model. The record is from RNAcentral. Lineage: Eukaryota; Fungi; Chytridiomycota; Chytridiomycetes; Rhizophydiales.
GCUUGUCUCAAAGAUUAAGCCAUGCAUGUCUAAGUGUAAAUACGUCUACACUGUGAAACUGCGAAUGGCUCAUUAAAUCAGUUAUCGUUUAUUUGAUGAUCUCUUGUUACAUGGAUAACCGUGGUAAUUCUAGUGCUAAUACAUGCAACGAUCCCCGACUUUUGAAGGGGAGUAUUUAUUAGAUUAAAAAACCAAUCGUAGCGAUACGUUUUUUGGUGAAUCAUGAUAACUUUUCGAAUCGCACGACAUUGUUGGCGAUGGUUCAAUCAAAUUUCUGCCCUAUCACCUUUCGAUGGUAGUAUAGAGGACUACCAUGGGUAUAACGGGUAACGGAGAAUUAGGGUUCGAUUCCGGAGAGGGAGCCUGAGAAACGGCUACCACAUCCAAGGAAGGCAGCAGG